UGUUCUGUAGCUUAGUUGAUUAAAGCGCCAGACUAGCGAUAACGGAGUCGUGGGUUCGAAUCCCUCCAAAACAA
Non-coding RNA from Aedes albopictus (Asian tiger mosquito), 74 nucleotides. The record is from Rfam. NCBI's taxonomy places the organism in Eukaryota, Metazoa, Arthropoda, Insecta, Diptera, Culicidae.